CACAUUGGAAGAGGAAAUACAUUGGCAGUAUUAAGCUAAUAAAAAUGGAAACCUUUUUCAGGAAGUGUUGGAGGUUCUCGGAUGAUAAAUGCAGCCUGUUUUGGAAAUCCAUCUUUGUACCAAGAUGAUGCUUGCUGCAUUGGGAGUGCAAAUAGUGUGAUUUUCAAGAAGGUUAUGCCUUGUAGAACAUGUUUUUAGAUGGCGAGUUAGCAAUAAUGCCUCUUUUUUGCGAGCAGACACCUGGCUAUAUGUAUUGCGUCAUUUGAGUAGCAUAGCAACCUUCCUUUUUUCUGCAUAUGAAAAAUCGUUCAUUUUUUUUUAAUCCACC
RNAcentral lists this long non-coding RNA (328 nucleotides) under Solanum tuberosum (potato). Its description in RNAcentral is "long non-coding RNA (STUB_LNC006160)". The record is from RNAcentral. Lineage: Eukaryota; Viridiplantae; Streptophyta; Magnoliopsida; Solanales; Solanaceae.